ACGCUGGCGGCAGGCCUAACACAUGCAAGUCGAGCGCGCCUUCGGGCGAGCGGCGGACGGGUUAGUAACGCGUGGGAACGUGCCCAGAUCUACGGAAUAGCCACUGGAAACGGUGAGUAAUACCGUAUACGCCCUUUGGGGGAAAGAUUUAUCGGAUUUGGAUCGGCCCGCGUUAGAUUAGGUAGUUGGUGGGGUAACGGCCUACCAAGCCUACGAUCUAUAGCUGGUUUUAGAGGAUGAUCAGCAACACUGGGACUGAGACACGGCCCAGACUCCUACGGGAGGCAGCAGUGGGGAAUCUUGGACAAUGGGGGCAACCCUGAUCCAGCCAUGCCGCGUGAGUGAAGAAGGCCCUAGGGUCGUAAAACUCUUUCGCCUGUGAUGAUAAUGACAGUAGCAGGUAAAGAAACCCCGGCUAACUCCGUGCCAGCAGCCGCGGUAAUACGGAGGGGGUUAGCGUUGUUCGGAAUUACUGGGCGUAAAGCGCACGUAGGCGGAUUAGAAAGUUAGAGGUGAAAUCCCGGGGCUCAACCCCGGAACUGCCUUUAAAACUACUAGUCUAGAGUUCGAGAGAGGUGAGUGGAAUUCCGAGUGUAGAGGUGAAAUUCGUAGAUAUUCGGAGGAACACCAGUGGCGAAGGCGGCUCACUGGCUCGAUACUGACGCUGAGGUGCGAAAGUGUGGGGAGCAAACAGGAUUAGAUACCCUGGUAGUCCACACCGUAAACGAUGAAUGCCAGUCGUCGGGUAGUAUACUAUUCGGUGACACACCUAACGGAUUAAGCAUUCCGCCUGGGGAGUACGGUCG
This 806-nucleotide ribosomal RNA is filed under the name uncultured Paracoccaceae bacterium. RNAcentral describes it as "bacterial SSU rRNA". It matches the Rfam family "Bacterial small subunit ribosomal RNA", at positions 33 to 888 of the family's 1533-position model. The record is from RNAcentral. Lineage: Bacteria; Pseudomonadati; Pseudomonadota; Alphaproteobacteria; Rhodobacterales; Paracoccaceae.